RNAcentral lists this ribosomal RNA (253 nucleotides) under uncultured bacterium. RNAcentral's name for it is "partial 16S ribosomal RNA". It matches the Rfam family "Bacterial small subunit ribosomal RNA", at positions 524 to 776 of the family's 1533-position model. The record is from RNAcentral.
GACGGAGGGGGCUAGCGUUGUUCGGAAUUACUGGGCGUAAAGCGCACGUAGGCGGCUUGGCAAGUCGGAUGUGAAAUCCCUCGGCUCAACCAAGGAAGUGCAUCCGAAACUGCUGAGCUUGAGUACGAAAGAGGAUCGCGGAAUUCCCGGUGUAGAGGUGAAAUUCGUAGAUAUCGGGAGGAACACCAGUGGCGAAGGCGGCGAUCUGGGUCGAUACUGACGCUGAGGUGCGAAAGCGUGGGGAGCAAACAGG